RNAcentral lists this long non-coding RNA (5113 nucleotides) under Sus scrofa (pig). RNAcentral's name for it is "lncRNA (ENSSSCG00035043762.1)". The record is from RNAcentral. Lineage: Eukaryota; Metazoa; Chordata; Mammalia; Artiodactyla; Suidae.
AUGCCAUUGUUGUCUUAUGAACCUAUUGCUACAUAACAAACUGCCCAAAACUUGGUGGUUUAAAGCAGCAACCAUAUAUUGGGCUCACAGGUCUCUGGGUCAACAAUACGGGCUGUGUGCAACUGGUCUCUCUCACAUGUCUGUGGUCAGCUUCCUUCCACGGAGUCCAAUGUCUUGGGUCAUUGGCUGGUGGUUGGCUGGGGCCACCUCCUUCUCACCCUCCAGCAGACUGGUCCAGGCUUGUUCCUAUGGAGACUGGCAGGGUUCUAACAGUGUGAUUAGAGAAGCUGCAAAACCUCUUGAUGCCCCAGGCUCAGAGCUGAUGCGACGUCAUUUCGGCCACAUCCUAUUGGCCAGAACCUGUCACAAGGCCCUGCCCAGGCUCAAAGGGUAAGGAAAUAGACCCAGCCACUGAUGAGAGAGACCACAUUCCAACCAAGGAUGCCCACAGAAUGGGGUGGAUAAUAUUAGCAAACAUCUACGAUUAUAUCUCCAAUAAUUCUGGGAAUGAGGAAAACGAAGUUCAACAUGUUCUUAUAAAUCCCUCUGUAGGUUGCAGAUGUGUUCGAGUGCAUUGUGUGUGGUGUCCUGACAAAGCCCUUUUGGUUUUGUGUGUCACAAGGGCUUGGGGCGCUGAGAAUCAGCCUUGGGGACCACCGCUCUCCCGCUUCGAAUUCCCAGCCGGAAUAAAGGAAGGCAUCUGUUUUCAUAAUUUAGGGGAUAAAGUGCCAUCGCUAGGGCAGACAUUUUUGUGGGGAAGGUUGUCUUGUUUUAUAGGAGGGUUGACAGGGGAAAUUAAGCCCCAUUUAGUCCCUCGACCUUUGGUUUCCAAACUGGAAAGAGCACAGUGUGUGUUCCAAUAGCCUCCCUGAAGUCAUUAUUGCUUCAGAGCCAGCUGAAUUGCUUGAUAAUAGCGAUUCUUUGCACUUGUAGAAUGUGUUUCCUCUGAGGAGGGCCAAGUAAUUUACAAUCACUUAUUAAUUAAUCCUCAGUCCCCUGCAUGAGAUGCGGCUGCGAUGCGGCUGCGUCAUUGUGUAUCUUUGACAGAUGUGUGAAGUGGCCAAAGGGAGACAAAGCGACAUUAAGCCUCUGCCCAAGGUCACUUGUCUAACUCACUGGACACCGUCCCAGCUCCACCAGCCUCCCCAUCCGCCCUGCAAGCCUUUCCCACAGAAGCGCUGGAAUUUCUCGGGGCUGGUUCCAGCCAUUGCAGAAAGCCUGACUUUUUCAGAUCAAACGUGAGGAUUUUGUUGUUCCAUUUUGGGAGGGGGUGGGAUGGGUGGUUCAUUUCUCACUGUUCUGUUUUUGGUUCUGGUGUUGAUGUGCACAGCUUUAGACCUGCCGCGUAGAUGUCCAAGAAGAGCUGGUUCAAAAAGCGUGGCUUUUGCAUUUUGUUCAGGCACAUCACUUACUGGGGAAAGCAUUCUCCCAGCUGAAAGAGGAAGCACUUCCAGCUCACAGAAUGUGAAAGGGGGCUUGAGAGAGAAGGAGGGGAGUGCGUGUUGCCUCCACCAGUGACUUGUAUUUUCGCAGCAACGUCCAAUUAGGAGAUAAAUGCCAAUUUGCUUUUCUAAACCGAUUGUACUCACACCAACACUCAGAAAACGGGAGCCCACUUCGCUUAGCAGAGGAACACAUCCACAGAAAAAGCUACCGGCUACAGAAGAGUCUUUGAGCUGACUUUCAGGCAUCCUUUCCAAUUUAUUUUCAAAAGGAUCUCUUACCUAAGUAUGUGUUUUUUCCCACACAUACAAACGAAACCAGCCAGAGUGGGUUUGUUUUUGUACAGAGAAGCAAGAACCUGUCAAAUCGAAAGAAGAGCUUACUCGGUACAUUGGAGACUCAGAAAGUGUGAGGCAGAUACUUCAGUAAUGAGGCAAUGAGAGCCACAGCCAGCCUUGGGAGCUGUACCAGAUGUGCUGCAGUCACAGCUGGCACGUGAGAAAAGACAGCUGGAAGGACAUGAAAAGCCAGGGGCCACAAAGGAGUAAUUAAGCAAGGUGACUUCCAGGCUCAGUGCAAUAGACGAAAGCCUUGUCAUGUUUGAACUUUGAGGAAUACUCUUUGCAUAGGAUCCAGUCAAAGUUAUGCCAACUGGUGGAGCUCCCUCCCUCCCUUCCUCCCUUCUCUCCUUUACCAAAUGUUUAUUGAGCAUUUCUUUUGUUGAAAGCCAUGUUCUGGGACUCUGGAGGGAGGUACUCAAAGCCAGCAGCCCACAGUGGAACCUUCAGUGACUUAAUUUUCUUGUACUUUCUCCCCCUCCCACACUGCCCCCUGCAGGCCCGUGUGCCAUUGUGUUCCGCUGGGUAUAGUAUCCCUCCCAUUCCUGGUGGACUAGGAUGGAAAGGAGAACUCUGUUCUAGGAAACCAUCUAAUAAGGUUUCCAGGAAAACCCAAAUUCUCCAGGUCUCAAAGGAAGGAGGCAUGAUGGCAGAGUUCCACUUAGCAAGCUUGCCCUUGUGGGACAGAAGCGGUGUCACCCAUGCACCCUCGUCGCUGUAAGAGCCUCUCAGAGUGGGGCCUGGGGAGUCUGACUUUGAGAAAGUCAUGGUGUCUGGGGACUGGCCUGCACUUACAGCUACAGGUCUCCUAUCAAGAGGUUCCUAUGAGACCCCAGCACAUUGUCAUAUUGCUCUCAUUUCUCUCUUCUUUUUUGUCCCUGGGUCCUGAGAUCAAUCUGAACGACUGGUGAAUGGAUAUCCUUACCUGUGUUUUAACUAAUUGCUCAUUAUUGAGUGAAAUGUAGUAUCUUCCUUCCCAUCAGCCCUCACCUCCUAAAUUCUCUUGAUUACAUUCCAAAGCCAUGUUCAGCUAGUUCCAACCUCAUCUCCACGCCUGCGUGACCCUGGGUGGGAGAUUUAACUUCUGGAUCUCAGCCCUUGCUUCUGCUAUCUGUUUUACAGGGUCACUAUUAAAAAGAACUAAAAUCACCUCGGCAUUUGGCACUGAGUCCACAGAAAGUAGGUAAAUGUUCAUUCUUUUCACUGCCCCCCUCCAAUCUCUUCCCCUCUGUUUCCAUGAAGUUUGCUCAAUUAUAUUUGACUUAGGUGAUGGGCUGCUUUGUAUAAAAGUUGGUGACAACUAGCCCUUUAAAGUGAUGGUGAGGAGUUCCUGUAGUGGCUCGGUGGUUAACAAAUCCGACUAGGAACCAUGAGGUUGCAGGUUCGAUUCCUGGCCUUGCUCUGUGGGUUAAGGAUCUGGCAUUGCCGUGAGCUGUGGUGUAGGUCGCAGAUGCAGCUUGGAUCCCGUAUUGCCGUGGCUCUGGCAGAGGCCAGUGGCUACAGCUCUGAUUCUAUCCCUAGCCUGGGAACCUCCGUAUGCUGUGGGAGUGGCCCUAGAAAAGGCAAAAAGACAAAAAAAAAAAAAAACCUUGGGGGGGGCUGCAAAGUGGGGAUAAGACAGGAAUCAUACUUGAUUUGCAUGUGCUCGUUCACCAGGGAGUUGCAAACAGUCAUUAUUUAUUAUCAGAUUCUAUCAUUUCAAAUAUUUACAAAGCAUUUAUCAAAUCAACACAACCAUGUUUCAGAAUAAAGUCAUCUUUCAGAAAUUUACCAUAGAAGAGAGUCACUGUAUUUCAGGAGACAAAAGGAAAUGAUAGAUGAUGAUAAACCAAGUUGCUACCCAAAGGGGAUAUAAAUAUGAUACAAAAGAACCCCAGAGAAUAAACAUGUGAUGUUGGUAAAGGAUUUGCUUGCUUUGGGUAGAUCCUUGAGUGACUGCCAACAUCCAUCUAUGCACAAACUAAUAAAAUAUGUACACAUAAAGUGCAAAGUUUGGCAGACAUCUGUGAAAUAGCAGCUAGUGGAUAAUGAGUUAACACAUGCUCUGGAGAAAACCUCAUUUUUCUGACCUAUUUGUCAAUGAAGGAUAACAAAGAAGAUCCUACAAGAAGCAAAGAGAAAUUCUACCUCUUACCAAAAUCAUCUAUUGCCUGGUCUAUAGCACCACCAGGCACCUAAGCCACAAAAGCACCCGAGUAGGACCAGCCACCCCUAAACUGGCCAUUGCCCCCUUCCUGGGACCAGCUGGAACAAACCCAGAAGCAAAUCUUCAGAUAGCCUCCUGCUUUGAGCCCUGCUCAGCACAACAAUAUUUCUGUAAUUCCACGCUCUUAGGGAAAGAAAUGUAUCUUCACCUGCAUUUUAUUUUGAACCAAAUACACUUUGGGAAAAUCCAAAAGAAAGGGUUAUUCCCUGCCUCCCCCUUCCCUAAGCAAUGUCUCACAGCUUAAUUAAAGACAGUCAUGACUCUAGGGACAGAAAACAGGUUCACAUUCUAAACCAGCUAUAGCAUAACAUGUUCCCUCCGCAAGCAGGAAUCAGGAAAAACAGAGAGAGCGCAAGCCUGGCCUUCUGAAGGUCACCACACCAAGGGAAGUUGAUGCAACUCACCUCCAAUUUUAAAAAGAGGCAGAAAAAACCAGAAGCAGCAGUUGCUGGUCCACUGAGCUGUAUUGGUACUUGGUCAGGGAGACAGGCCUGCAAAGAUUAUGAAGGUCCCACAUUAGCAAUACACAACAUAGGCAGAGCAAACCAAACAGGGCUUGCUGGUGUGCUGACUGGGACACACACACUCAUCAGAUACACUUUCUUUAAAGAGAUGUCCACAGGAGUUCCUGUUGUGGUACAACAGAAAUGAACCACACUAGUAUCCAUGAGGACUCAAUCCCUGGCCUUGCUCAGUGGGUUACGGAUCAGGCGUUGCCGUGAGCUGCGGUGUGGGUCACAGACGUGGGUAGGAUCUGGUGUUGCUGUGGCCAUGGUAUAGGCCAGCAGCUUUAGCUCAGAUUCAACCUCUAGCCUGGGAACCUCCAUAUGCCACAGGUAUGGCCUUUAAAAAAAAAGAGAGAGAGGUGUCCCCAAAUGAAAAACACUGAUUUCUCUCAGCAAAUUUGAACUUCUCUAACCUUCUGCUCUGAAGGCACUGUGGGACAAAUCUGAGCAAGCCCACACUUCCUUUCACUAAGUGGGACAUGCCAUCUUCUGACAGGAAGACUUUCUCAUGCUUUCCAAAACAAUAGAUGAUGGCAUGGUUACGGCUUGAGGUAUCAGGCACAGAGUCAGAAUCCCUAAACCUCUCCGUGCUGUCUAUCCCUGAUUAUAAUCGGGUAAGA